AGAGUUUGAUCCUGGCUCAGGACUAACGCUGGCGGCGUGCCUAACACAUGCAAGUCGAACGAGUGUAGCAAUACACUAGUGGCAGACGGGUGAGUAACACGUAGUCAACCUACCUCUAAGUGGGGGAUAACUAGCCGAAAGGUUAGCUAAUACCGCAUACGAUCGUCGAGUGGCAUCAUUUGACGAUGAAAGGAGCAAUCCGCUGAGAGACGGGACUGCGUCCCAUUAGUUAGUUGGUGGGGUAAUGGCCUACCAAGACUUCGAUGGGUAGCUGGCUUGAGAGAGCGACCAGCCACACUGGAACUGAGACACGGUCCAGACUCCUACGGGAGGCAGCAGUGAGGAAUUUUCCGCAAUGGGGGAAACCCUGACGGAGCGACGCCGCGUGUGGGAAGAAGGCCUUCGGGUCGUAAACCACUGUCGAAGGGGACGAUAUUGACGGUACCCUUGGAGGAAGCCCCGGCUAACUACGUGCCAGCAGCCGCGGUAAGACGUAGGGGGCAAGCGUUGUCCGGAAUUAUUGGGCGUAAAGCGCUCGUAGGUGGAUUAGGUAAGUCUGCAAAGAAAUACCCGGGCUCAACUCGGGGAACGGUGUGGAUACUACUAAUCUUUGAGGCAAUCAGAGGAUGAUGGAAUUCCCGGUGUAAGCCGGUGAAAUGCGUAGAUAU
RNAcentral lists this ribosomal RNA (668 nucleotides) under uncultured bacterium. Its description in RNAcentral is "bacterial SSU rRNA". It matches the Rfam family "Bacterial small subunit ribosomal RNA", at positions 8 to 697 of the family's 1533-position model. The record is from RNAcentral.